Fukomys damarensis (Damara mole-rat) is the source of this 272-nucleotide unclassified non-coding RNA. Its record names the gene 7SK. It matches the Rfam family "7SK RNA". Rfam says of the family: 7SK was discovered as an abundant small nuclear RNA in the mid-70s but a possible function has only recently been suggested. Two independent studies have found that 7SK RNA binds the CDK9/cyclin T complex (known as elongation factor P-TEFb). The record is from Ensembl. Lineage: Eukaryota; Metazoa; Chordata; Mammalia; Rodentia; Bathyergidae.
GGAUGUGAGGGUGAUCUGUCUGCAACAUCUGUCACCCUAUUGAUCACCAGGGUUGAUUCAGCUGAUCUGGCUGGCUAGGUGGGUGUCCCCUUCCUGCCUCACUGCUCCAUGUAUGUCCCUCCCGAAGAGAAGAUGGCCACCCCAAUGGAGGAGGACCAAGUCCUCGGUCAAGGGUAUAUGAGUAGUUGUGCUCCCCUGCUAGAACCAACAAGCUCUCAAGGAAGAGACCUAUUACAGAUUACAUUUGUACUUCCCUCUCCUGGAUGGUCUUC